CCUAACACAUGCAAGUCGAACGAUGCUUUCGGGCAUAGUGGCGCACGGGUGCGUAACGCGUGGGAAUCUGCCCUUGGGUUCGGAAUAACAGUUGGAAACGACUGCUAAUACCGGAUGAAGACGAAAGUCCAAAGAUUUAUCGCCUGAGGAUGAGCCCGCGUAAGAUUAGGUAGUUGGUGGGGUAAAGGCCUACCAAGCCGACGAUCUUUAGCUGGUCUGAGAGGAUGAUCAGCCACACUGGGACUGAGACACGGCCCAGACUCCUACGGGAGGCAGCAGUGGGGAAUAUUGGACAAUGGGCGAAAGCCUGAUCCAGCAAUGCCGCGUGAGUGAUGAAGGCCUUAGGGUUGUAAAGCUCUUUUACCCGGGAUGAUAAUGACAGUACCGGGAGAAUAAGCCCCGGCUAACUCCGUGCCAGCAGCCGCGGUAAUACGGAGGGGGCUAGCCGUUGUUCGGAAUUACUGGGCGUAAAGCGCACGUAGGCGGCUUUGUAAGUUAGAGGUGAAAGCCUGGAGCUCAACUCCAGAAUUGCCUUUAAGACUGCAUCGCUUGAAUCCAGGAGAGGUGAGUGGAAUUNCGAGUGUAGAAGGUGAAAUUCGUAGAUAUUCGGAAGAACACCAGUGGCGAA
This 628-nucleotide ribosomal RNA is filed under the name Sphingomonas sp. JMT1923. Its description in RNAcentral is "bacterial SSU rRNA". It matches the Rfam family "Bacterial small subunit ribosomal RNA", at positions 47 to 719 of the family's 1533-position model. The record is from RNAcentral. Lineage: Bacteria; Pseudomonadati; Pseudomonadota; Alphaproteobacteria; Sphingomonadales; Sphingomonadaceae.